GACGAACGCUGGCGGCGUGCUUAACACAUGCAAGUCGAACGGAAAGGCCCUGCUUUUGUGGGGUGCUCGAGUGGCGAACGGGUGAGUAACACGUGAGUAACCUACCCUUGACUUUGGGAUAACUUCAGGAAACUGGGGCUAAUACCGGAUAGGAGCUCCUGCUGCAUGGUGGGGGUUGGAAAGUUUCGGCGGUUGGGGAUGGACUCGCGGCUUAUCAGCUUGUUGGUGGGGUAGUGGCUUACCAAGGCUUUGACGGGUAGCCGGCCUGAGAGGGUGACCGGCCACAUUGGGACUGAGAUACGGCCCAGACUCCUACGGGAGGCAGCAGUGGGGAAUAUUGCACAAUGGGCGGAAGCCUGAUGCAGCAACGCCGCGUGCGGGAUGACGGCCUUCGGGUUGUAAACCGCUUUCGCCUGUGACGAAGCGUGAGUGACGGUAAUGGGUAAAGAAGCACCGGCUAACUACGUGCCAGCAGCCGCGGUGAUACGUAGGGUGCGAGCGUUGUCCGGAUUUAUUGGGCGUAAAGGGCUCGUAGGUGGUUGAUCGCGUCGGAAGUGUAAUCUUGGGGCUUAACCCUGAGCGUGCUUACGAUACGGGUUGACUUGAGGAAGGUAGGGGAGAAUGGAAUUCCUGGUGGAGCGGUGGAAUGCGCAGAUAUCAGGAGGAACACCAGUGGCGAAGGCGGUUCUCUGGGCCUUUCCUGACGCUGAGGAGCGAAAGCGUGGGGAGCGAACAGGCUUAGAUACCCUGGUAGUCCACGCUGUAAACGGUGGGUGCUAGGUGUGGGGUCCAUUCCACGGGUCCCGUGCCGUAGCUAACGCUUUAAGUACCCCGCCUGGGGAGUACGGCCGCAAGGCUAAAACUCAAAGGAAUUGACGGGGCCCCGCACAAGCGGCGGAGCAUGCGGAUUAAUUCGAUGCAACGCGUAGAACCUUACCUGGGUUUGACAUGGAUCGGGAGUGCUCAGAGAUGGGUGUGCCUCUUUUGGGGUCGGUUCACAGGUGGUGCAUGGCUGUCGUCAGCUCGUGUCGUGAGAUGUUGGGUUAAGUCCCGCAACGAGCGCAACCCUUGUUCACUGUUGCCAGCACGUUAUGGUGGGGACUCAGUGGAGACCGCCGGGGUCAACUCGGAGGAAGGUGGGGAUGACGUCAAGUCAUCAUGCCCCUUAUGUCCAGGGCUUCACGCAUGCUACAAUGGCUGGUACAGAGAGUGGCGAGCCUGUGAGGGUGAGCGAAUCUCGGAAAGCCGGUCUCAGUUCGGAUUGGGGUCUGCAACUCGACCUCAUGAAGUCGGAGUCGCUAGUAAUCGCAGAUCAGCAACGCUGCGGUGAAUACGUUCCCGGGGCU
Molecule: ribosomal RNA, 1346 nt
Filed under: uncultured bacterium
Lineage: Bacteria
Description: partial 16S ribosomal RNA
Rfam family: Bacterial small subunit ribosomal RNA
Source: RNAcentral